RNAcentral lists this ribosomal RNA (994 nucleotides) under Pseudomonas sp. BMO1_1H11. RNAcentral's name for it is "bacterial SSU rRNA". It matches the Rfam family "Bacterial small subunit ribosomal RNA", at positions 57 to 1220 of the family's 1533-position model. The record is from RNAcentral. Lineage: Bacteria; Pseudomonadati; Pseudomonadota; Gammaproteobacteria; Pseudomonadales; Pseudomonadaceae.
GCAGUCGCGGCAGCAUGAUCUAGCUUGCUAGAUUGAUGGCGAGUGGCGAACGGGUGAGUAAUACAUCGGAACGUGCCCUGUAGUGGGGGAUAACUAGUCGAAAGAUUAGCUAAUACCGCAACGACCUGAGGGUGAAAGUGGGGGACCGCAAGGCCUCAUGCUAUAGGAGCGGCCGAUGUCUGAUUAGCUAGUUGGUGGGGUAAAGGCCCACCAAGGCGACGAUCAGUAGCUGGUCUGAGAGGACGAUCAGCCACACUGGGACUGAGACACGGCCCAGACUCCUACGGGAGGCAGCAGUGGGGAAUUUUGGACAAUGGGCGAAAGCCUGAUCCAGCAAUGCCGCGUGUGUGAAGAAGGCCUUCGGGUUGUAAAGCACUUUUGUCCGGAAAGAAAUGGCUCUGGUUAAUACCUGGGGUCGAUGACGGUACCGGAAGAAUAAGGACCGGCUAACUACGUGCCAGCAGCCGCGGUAAUACGUAGGGUCCAAGCGUUAAUCGGAAUUACUGGGCGUAAAGCGUGCGCAGGCGGUUGUGCAAGACCGAUGUGAAAUCCCCGAGCUUAACUUGGGAAUUGCAUUGGUGACUGCACGGCUAGAGUGUGUCAGAGGGGGGUAGAAUUCCACGUGUAGCAGUGAAAUGCGUAGAGAUGUGGAGGAAUACCGAUGGCGAAGGCAGCCCCCUGGGAUAACACUGACGCUCAUGCACGAAAGCGUGGGGAGCAAACAGGAUUAGAUACCCUGGUAGUCCACGCCCUAAACGAUGUCAACUAGUUGUUGGGGAUUCAUUUCCUUAGUAACGUACUACGCGUGAAGUUGACCGCCUGGGGAGUACGGUCGCAAGAUUAAAACUCAAAGGAAUUGACGGGGACCGCACAAGCGGUGAGAUGUGGUAAUUCGAUGCAACGCAAACUUACCUACCUGACUGCCUACGAACAAAGCAUGGUCAAAAAACCUGCAGGUCGCCUCGCGGUGGAUCCAAUUACAGUCAGGCCGAAU